ACACAAAAGCUACACAAAUAUUUGACAACAGCUACAUUUUAAACUCCAACAAAAGCAACAAACAGCAAUUGUACUAAACAGCAUCUCAAUAACAGACAGUGUAUCAAGGACAGCAACAAUCCGUCGAAAGCGUAAAGUCGACGAAGCUGGCAAAAGAGAAGAAGAAAGAAGAAGAGUGGAAUAAGGGGAGUAAAAAAAAGUUGGAACGUUGGAGCUUGAAGGCGGAAGGAAGAAAAGUCAGGGUUUGAGGGAGACGGGACUUUGGAGCAGGAGGGUUACGUUCCAGAAACUUGGUUCCAUGGCUCCUUUGCAGCAUCCAGGAGGCCCCGAACCCAGUUACCCUGUUUGCUGUUCCAGCG
Megachile rotundata (alfalfa leafcutting bee) is the source of this 359-nucleotide long non-coding RNA. The record is from RefSeq and is a predicted model, not a curated record. Lineage: Eukaryota; Metazoa; Arthropoda; Insecta; Hymenoptera; Megachilidae.